UUGAGCAGCGACGCCCGUCCGUGCACGCCCCAUCAGUCGUCGGUCCGAGUGCGACUUCGCCUCGGCCCCGAGCGGGUUUCCUGUGUUGCGUACCUACUGAAACGGAAUUCGGAUGUCCCAACGUUUGUGCGUCCGCCUAGCGUUGUCCCUUCGGGGUGCGGCGUAGGGUGGACCUCGAAGCGGCGCCCGCGUUCCGGGUCGCUCACGUUACGUGAUGCUGUCCCGGCCCGCGGACCGUCGCUCGGGCUCUCGGAUGCGGAAUGCUCGGAGGGUACGGGGUCGUCCGUCGGCUCCUGUUUGCCCGGAAUAAAUUUCGUUACCGAACGACUGCCGUCGUUCCGUCGAGGCGUCGGAUCCCCCGGAUCCGCCGUCCUCUCGGGGCGCCGGCGUCCGUGAGGAAUGCUA
Molecule: unclassified non-coding RNA, 405 nt
Filed under: Cephalanthus tetrandrus
Lineage: Eukaryota; Viridiplantae; Streptophyta; Magnoliopsida; Gentianales; Rubiaceae
Description: partial external transcribed spacer
Source: RNAcentral